CCUACGGGCUGCACCAGUGGGGAAUAUUGCACAAUGGGCGCAAGCCUGAUGCAGCCAUGCCGCGUGUAUGAAGAAGGCCUUCGGGUUGUAAAGUACUUUCAGCGGGGAGGAAGGCGGUGAGGUUAAUAACCUCAUCGAUUGACGUUACCCGCAGAAGAAGCACCGGCUAACUCCGUGCCAGCGGCCGCGGUGAUACGGAGGGUGCAAGCGUUAAUCGGAAUUACUGGGCGUAAAGCGCACGCAGGCGGUCUGUCAAGUCGGAUGUGAAAUCCCCGGGCUCAACCUGGGAACUGCAUUCGAAACUGGCAGGCUAGAGUCUUGUAGAGGGGGGUAGAAUUCCAGGUGUAGCGGUGAAAUGCGUAGAGAUCUGGAGGAAUACCGGUGGCGAAGGGGCCCCCUGGACAAAGACUGACGCUCAGGUGCGAAAGCGUGGGGAGCAAACAGGAUUAGAUACCCGUGUAGUC
Molecule: ribosomal RNA, 464 nt
Filed under: uncultured bacterium
Lineage: Bacteria
Description: bacterial SSU rRNA
Rfam family: Bacterial small subunit ribosomal RNA
Source: RNAcentral